Molecule: ribosomal RNA, 773 nt
Filed under: Pristimantis sp. QCAZ 58956
Lineage: Eukaryota; Metazoa; Chordata; Amphibia; Anura; Strabomantidae
Description: partial small subunit ribosomal RNA
Rfam family: Bacterial small subunit ribosomal RNA
Source: RNAcentral
CCACACCCAUCUAGGGAUAAGGAGCCGAUAUCAGGCACAAUAUUUGCCCAAAACAUCUAGCCACACCACACCCACAAGGGUUCCCAGCAGUGAUUAACAUUAAACAUAAACGUCAGUUUGACUUAGCCAAUGAAAAUAGAGCCGGCCAAUCUGGUGCCAGCCGCCGCGGUUACACCACGUGGCUCAAAUUGAUUUUAGUACGGCGUAAAGCGUGGUUAAAGAAACAAACUAAUGGGGUUAAACCUGAANUAAGCCGUAGUACGCUUGUUCACAAGAAAACCUCACCUCGAAAGAUACCCCAACCCACCAACUUGAACCCACGAUAACUGGGACACAAACUGGGAUUAGAUACCCCACUAUGCCCAGUCACAAACUUUAACUUACACCUCUAUCGCCAGGGAACUACGAGCAAAGCUUAAAACCCAAAGGACUUGACGGUACCCCACAUCCCCCUAGAGGAGCCUGUCCUAUAACCGAUACCCCCCGUUAAACCUCACCACUUUUAGUUUAUCAGCCAGUAUACUUCCGUCGCCAGCUUACCGCGUGAGCGAAUAAGUAAGCUAAAUGUCCCCAUCAACACGUCAGGUCAAAGUGCAGCUAAUAAGGUGGCAAGAGAUGGGCUACACUUUCUAUAUUAGAAGACACGAAAGACUACAUGAAACUGUAGUCAGAAGGUGGAUUUAGAAGUAAGAUGAGAAUAGAGUAUUCUUCUUAACUCGGCACUGGGGUGUGUACACACCGCCCGUCACCCUCUUCACUGGAAUUACAUAGUA